GAUGAACGCUGGCGGCGUGCCUAAUACAUGCAAGUCGAGCGAACAGACGAGGAGCUUGCUCCUCUGACGUUAGCGGCGGACGGGUGAGUAACACGUGGGUAACCUACCUAUAAGACUGGGAUAACUUCGGGAAACCGGAGCUAAUACCGGAUAAUAUAUUGAACCGCAUGGUUCAAUAGUGAAAGACGGUUUUGCUGUCACUUAUAGAUGGAUCCGCGCCGCAUUAGCUAGUUGGUAAGGUAACGGCUUACCAAGGCGACGAUGCGUAGCCGACCUGAGAGGGUGAUCGGCCACACUGGAACUGAGGCACGGUCCAGACUCCUACGGGAGGCAGCAGUAGGGAAUCUUCCGCAAUGGGCGAAAGCCUGACGGAGCAACGCCGCGUGAGUGAUGAAGGUCUUCGGAUCGUAAAACUCUGUUAUUAGGGAAGAACAAAUGUGUAAGUAACUAUGUACGUCUUGACGGUACCUAAUCAGAAAGCUACGGCUAACUACGUGCCAGCCGCCGCAGUAA
This 513-nucleotide ribosomal RNA is filed under the name uncultured bacterium. RNAcentral's name for it is "partial 16S ribosomal RNA". It matches the Rfam family "Bacterial small subunit ribosomal RNA", at positions 28 to 523 of the family's 1533-position model. The record is from RNAcentral.